UACGUAGGGUGCAAGCGUUAAUCGGAAUUACUGGGCGUAAAGCGUGCGCAGGCGGCUAUGCAAGACAGAUGUGAAAUCCCCGGGCUUAACCUGGGAACCGCAUUUGUGACUGCACAGCUGGAGUACGGCAGAGGGGGAUGGAAUUCCGCGUGUAGCAGUGAAAUGCGUAGAUAUGCGGAGGAACACCGAUGGCGAAGGCAGUCCCCUGGGCCUGUACUGACGCUCAUGGACGAAAGCGUGGGGAGCAAACAGG
Molecule: ribosomal RNA, 253 nt
Filed under: uncultured bacterium
Lineage: Bacteria
Description: partial 16S ribosomal RNA
Rfam family: Bacterial small subunit ribosomal RNA
Source: RNAcentral